RNAcentral lists this long non-coding RNA (761 nucleotides) under Struthio camelus australis. RNAcentral describes it as "lncRNA (ENSSCUG00000007298.1)". The record is from RNAcentral. Lineage: Eukaryota; Metazoa; Chordata; Aves; Struthioniformes; Struthionidae.
AGUGAGGUUCUACAAAAUGAGAUCCAGGCCUGAGAGUUUGCCCUGAACCCGGUGUUAUUCAGUGUGAGUGCUAGUAAUUAGGAGAAGAAAAUCACUUUUGCAGCUAUGAAGAGAGGAGUAAAUGGCUACCUGAUGGCACAGCAGAGAGAUGGUGGUGCUAUGGAUCGUGAAACGAAUGGGAGGCAACAACAUGUUGCUGUGGCAAAAACAGGCAGAAGAUGUUUUGAGGCACAGCAUUAUAGGUCUUUACUCGCUGUGGCUGCUCCGUUUGCAAACCCCGACAGAGGCAGCAGCGUCUGUAAGAUCCCAGUGUGAGGUAAUCAAUGAGAGUCGUGAAAGUGAGCUGAUGUGGAAGGGAGAAAACAAGACCAUUUUGGAUUCAGAGACCCAAAGAACGGUCCUAAUGUGCACACAGCAAAUCACUGGUCAUUCCUGAGAGAAAGCCGGAGGACUCUGGUGCAUAUCGCUGCUCGGUAUGGGCCAGGGUUGGAUAUGUCAUUCAGCAGGCAGAUGUCCUCCUUGCGGUGUCAGGUGAGGUAACAGGACCAAAAGUGAAAUUUCAUAAGCUAAAUAUCCUUAGCUUAUGACUAAAGACUAAAGCUUAUGACUACGACUAAAAUAUAAAGAUAUUUGUAAAGUCUUUAGACUUUACAAGAGGACUUCACAAAAAAUGGGAGCAUCGAGUGUCUGGAGCACUGAGCUUUUGCUCUCUUCCAGCACAAAAUGUAGUGGUUUAAAUAAAACAGUGACAAUUUUGGUCA